AUGGAAAUACCGAGCUUGUAAAAGUAUCUGACGGAUACCAAAAGUGUCAGUCAGGCCAGACAAGUGUUACAUGCGAAGGCGAAACGUCCACGAAAAGAAUGAUAACAAGUGGAAAAGUACACAAACAGAUCGGAUGGAAAUACAAUAUGGUUAAAAGGGAAACCAAGCUAAAAAUCGAGUGUUUCAAUUCAAGUGAAAAAGUGAAUGAAUAAAAUCUACCAGCGUAUGACAGAUUUCGUUUCAAUACCUCUUCUUUCCUCUAAGAAUCAUCAGUUUAAUGGAUCCCACCAGAGUUAUAUUUAUUAUAUUCCACGCUCCACAUGCUCCACAUAUCUCAACAUCACAUCGAAAUAUAUAUCGGAGGGCAUAUCGUGUCCAGACCUUUGAUGUGAUACCGAUUCCGUUACGGAUCCGUUUUCUGGACUCUUUAAAAAUGCCAGGCACAAAAUGCCCCAGAAAAGAAAUGCAAAAGUUGUAUAAGAAGCGACCAAAAGACAAAAAAUAUCUUCAAGUAAACCUUAUAAAACGAUCUCAAUUGGUUCGCUUUUUGGAGCUUUGGUAUUCCCCCCCUUUUGCCAAAUUCUCUUUAAUGCGAAAUUCGCAAUUUUCGUUGACAUUUGCAAAUUCUUGUCACAAAAAGCGAAAAAUUUGUUUCAGGCGAAUUUCAACUAUUCAGCUGCGGCCUCUUUUUCGCAUUAAAUGUUGGAUUUUAUGGCCGGAUUGCUGGAGUUGCAUUUAAAAGGAGGCAUGCCCCUCCGCACUCACAAGUCGCUGCUUUUCAUGCAAAAAAAUUGAAUGAAAGCUGGCCAACGAUGACAGACAGCCAAGUAGGUGAGUUUGAGUUGAGUGUUUAUGGUGCAUUUGACACAGCAAAUUUGCCGGCAAAUCGCAUCAAAUAUUUAUGUUAAUGCCCCCUCACAAUCCCCUUUCCACCGAUUUAAAUGAAAGUAGUUCAAUUCACUGGCAAAAAUGUUUGUCCAUGGCAUACAAAUUGUCUCCGAGCUCUUUGUUAAAGAACUUUUACUGGUCGGUGAAGGAAAUGUGUCACAAAUGAGCAGGAAAAGAAAAGGCGAGAUGGUGCAAAUGGGGAACGGAGAAGGCCAAGAGAUCACCGGAGAAUGACAGGGCGAAUUUUUCAGCCUGACUUAAAGGGACACUGAAAAAUUAACCCUAGCUUUGACAAUAAUACAUUUUAAACCAAUUAUUGAAUCUAAUUGCUCAUUACAUAUCCGAAAGUAAUCUUUGUAACAAAGGAUUAAUGAUUAAAUGCUACAUAAAUGAAAUAAAUAUAUGAAUUGAGUUCUU
Molecule: non-coding RNA, 1305 nt
Organism: Drosophila melanogaster (fruit fly)
Lineage: Eukaryota; Metazoa; Arthropoda; Insecta; Diptera; Drosophilidae
Source: Ensembl